AACGUAGGAGACAAACGUUAUCCGGAGUUACUGGGCGUAAAGGGCGUGUAGGCGGUUUGUUAAGUCUGGCGUGAAAGCUCUCGGCUAAACCGGGAGAGGUCGUUGGAUACUGGCAAACUUGAGGACGGUAGAGGCGAAUGGAAUUCCUGGUGUAGCGGUGAAAUGCGCAGAUAUCAGGAAGAACACCCGUGGCGAAGGCGGUUCUCUGGGACGGUACUGACGCUGAGACGCGAAAGCGUGGGGAGCGAACAGG
RNAcentral lists this ribosomal RNA (253 nucleotides) under uncultured bacterium. RNAcentral describes it as "partial 16S ribosomal RNA". It matches the Rfam family "Bacterial small subunit ribosomal RNA", at positions 524 to 776 of the family's 1533-position model. The record is from RNAcentral.